UAUUAUUAUUGAUGUAUUUGUUAUUAUUAAGGUAUUAAUAGUUAUGUUCUUUAAACUUAAAUGAUUUGGCGGUGUUUUAGUCUUUUCAGAGGAAUCUGUUCCAUAAUCGAUAUUCCACGAUUUAUCUUACCAUUUGUUGUUAUCAGUUUGUAUAUCUCCGUUAUCGGAUUAUCUUUUUAGAGUUAAUUUUCUUUAUUUUGUAUUAAAAAGUAUUUCAGGUCAAGGUGCAGCUAAUCAAGUGGUUGGAAAUGGAUUACAAUAAAUUUAUUUAUAAUGGAUAUUAAAAUUAAAAUUUUAAUUGAAGGUGGAUUUGAAUGUAAAUUUAUUUUAUAAUAAUAGUUUGAUUUUAGCUCUAAAACAUGUACACAUCGCCCGUCGCUCUCGUUAAUAAAAUGAG
RNAcentral lists this ribosomal RNA (397 nucleotides) under Tyrannophasma gladiator. Its description in RNAcentral is "partial 12S ribosomal RNA". The record is from RNAcentral. Lineage: Eukaryota; Metazoa; Arthropoda; Insecta; Mantophasmatodea.